UGGGGAAUCUUGCACAAUGGGGGAAACCCUGAUGCAGCGACGCCGCGUGAACGAUGAAGCCCUUCGGGGUGUAAAGUUCUUUCGACAGGAACGAUAAUGACGGUACCUGGAGAAGAAGCUGCGGCUAACUACGUGCCAGCAGCCGCGGUAAUACGUAGGCAGCGAGCGUUGUUCGGAGUUACUGGGCGUAAAGAGUGCGUAGGCGGCGAGCCAAGUUCGGUGCGAAAUCUCCCGGCUUAACCGGGAGGGUGCGCCGAAAACUGGUUGGCUGGAGUAUGGGAGAGGAAAGCGGAAUUCCUGGUGUAGCGGUGAAAUGCGUAGAUAUCAGGAGGAACACCUGCGGUGUAGACAGCUUUCUGGACCAAAACUGACGCUGAGGCACGAAAGCGUGGGUAGCAAACA
This 402-nucleotide ribosomal RNA is filed under the name uncultured bacterium. RNAcentral describes it as "bacterial SSU rRNA". It matches the Rfam family "Bacterial small subunit ribosomal RNA", at positions 355 to 774 of the family's 1533-position model. The record is from RNAcentral.